RNAcentral lists this ribosomal RNA (465 nucleotides) under Vreelandella stevensii. Its description in RNAcentral is "partial 16S ribosomal RNA". It matches the Rfam family "Bacterial small subunit ribosomal RNA", at positions 338 to 795 of the family's 1533-position model. Lineage: Bacteria; Pseudomonadati; Pseudomonadota; Gammaproteobacteria; Oceanospirillales; Halomonadaceae. The record is from RNAcentral.
CCUACGGGAGGCAGCAGUGGGGAAUAUUGAACAAUGGGGGGAACCCUGAUCCAGCCAUGCCGCGUGUGUGAAGAAGGCCCUCGGGUUGUAAAGCACUUUCAGUGAGGAAGAACGCCUGGUGGUUAAUACCCAUCAGGAAAGACAUCACUCACAGAAGAAGCACCGGCUAACUCCGUGCCAGCAGCCGCGGUAAUACGGAGGGUGCGAGCGUUAAUCGGAAUUACUGGGCGUAAAGCGCGCGUAGGUGGCUUGAUAAGCCGGUUGUGAAAGCCCCGGGCUCAACCUGGGAACGGCAUCCGGAACUGUCAAGCUAGAGUGCAGGAGAGGAAGGUAGAAUUCCCGGUGUAGCGGUGAAAUGCGUAGAGAUCGGGAGGAAUACCAGUGGCGAAGGCGGCCUUCUGGACUGACACUGACACUGAGGUGCGAAAGCGUGGGUAGCAAACAGGAUUAGAUACCCGGGUAGUC